This 1658-nucleotide ribosomal RNA is filed under the name Clostridium aquiflavi. RNAcentral's name for it is "partial 23S ribosomal RNA". It matches the Rfam family "Bacterial large subunit ribosomal RNA", at positions 1205 to 2874 of the family's 2925-position model. The record is from RNAcentral. Lineage: Bacteria; Bacillati; Bacillota; Clostridia; Eubacteriales; Clostridiaceae.
GGUUCACACUUUUGUGUGAGCGGUAGAGGAGCGUCGUAAUCGGGCUGAAGUCGUACCGUAAGGAGCGGUGGACUGAUUACGAGUGAGAAUGUUGGCAUUAGUAGCGAGAUGUGGGUGAGAAUCCCACAGGCCGAAUACCUAAGGUUUCCUCAGGAAGGUUCGUCCGCUGAGGGUUAGUCGGGACCUAAGCUGAGGCCGAAAGGCGUAAGCGAUGGACAAUCGGUUGAUAUUCCGAUACCACUAUUAUCGUUAUUAUCGAUGGUGUGACGGAGAAGGAUAGGAUGUGCUAGCUAUUGGAUGCUAGUCUAAGCGUUUAGGGAGUUAGGAUAGGCAAAUCCGUUCUAACAAUUCUGAGGCGUGAUGGGGAAGGUUCUAAGGAACCGAAGUAUCUGAUUCCAUGCUUCCAAGAAAAGCAUCUAGAAAGAGAAAUAGUGCCCGUACCGCAAACCGACACAGGUAGGUGAGGAGAGAAUCCUAAGGCCGGCGGAAGAAUUGCAGUUAAGGAACUAGGCAAAUUGACCCCGUAACUUCGGGAGAAGGGGUGCCUGCGAGAGCAGGCCGCAGAGAAUAGGCACAAGCAACUGUUUAACAAAAACACAGGUCUCUGCUAAAGCGAAAGCUGAUGUAUAGGGGCUGACGCCUGCCCGGUGCUGGAAGGUUAAGGGGAACACUUAGCGUAAGCGAAGGUGUGAACUUAAGCCCCAGUAAACGGCGGCCGUAACUAUAACGGUCCUAAGGUAGCGAAAUUCCUUGUCAGGUAAGUUCUGACCCGCACGAAUGGCGUAAUGACUUGUGCACUGUCUCAACUGCAAAUCCGGCGAAGUUGUAGUGCGAGUGAAGAUGCUCGCUACCCGCGAUUGGACGGAAAGACCCCGUAGAGCUUUACUGUAGCUUAGCAUUGAAUUUCGGUAUUGUCUGUACAGGAUAGGUGGGAGACUGGGAAAUCAGAGCGUCAGCUUUGAUGGAGUCAUCCUUGGGAUACCACCCUGAUAGUACUGGAAUUCUAACUGGAUGCCAUGAAUCUGGUGACAGGACAUUGUUAGGUGGGCAGUUUGACUGGGGCGGUCGCCUCCUAAAAAGUAACGGAGGCGCCCAAAGGUUCCCUCAGAACGGUCGGAAAUCGUUCGUAGAGUGCAAAGGCAUAAGGGAGCCUGACUGCGAGACCUACAAGUCGAGCAGGGACGAAAGUCGGGCUUAGUGAUCCGGUGGUACCUCGUGGGAGGGCCAUCGCUCAACGGAUAAAAGCUACCUCGGGGAUAACAGGCUGAUCUCCCCCAAGAGUUCACAUCGACGGGGAGGUUUGGCACCUCGAUGUCGGCUCGUCGCAUCCUGGGGCUGAAGUAGGUCCCAAGGGUUGGGCUGUUCGCCCAUUAAAGCGGCACGCGAGCUGGGUUCAGAACGUCGUGAGACAGUUCGGUCCCUAUCCGUCGCGGGCGCAGGAAAUUUGAGAAGAGCUGUCCUUAGUACGAGAGGACCGGGAUGGACCGACCUAUGGUGUACCAGUUGUUUCGCCAGAAGCAUAGCUGGGUAGCUAAGUCGGGACGGGAUAAACGCUGAAAGCAUCUAAGCGUGAAGCCUCCUUCAAGAUGAGAUUUCCCAUAGCGUAAGCUAGUAAGACCCCUUGAAGACUACAAGGUUGAUAGGUCAGAGGUGUAAGU